GCGGGGAGGGCUCAGUGGUAGAGCGCAUGCCUAGCAAGCAUGAGGUCCUGGGUUCAACCCCCAGUACCUUCA
Molecule: transfer RNA, 72 nt
Filed under: Camelus bactrianus (Bactrian camel)
Lineage: Eukaryota; Metazoa; Chordata; Mammalia; Artiodactyla; Camelidae
Also listed under: 1 other name
Rfam family: tRNA
About the family: Transfer RNA (tRNA) molecules are approximately 80 nucleotides in length.
Source: Rfam by way of RNAcentral